GAGCACCCAACACUCAACGACAGUAUAGAUAUGUUUUCAACGCUUUUUGCUGUCGUGUACUACGCAGCGGUGUUGCCGAUAUCAUGACAUCGGGACUCAAUAUUUUGUUUUAAUAAAAUUUAACAGUAAGCUGCACAUGCUGGCGAGCUAUUCCUAUGUAACAA
Molecule: long non-coding RNA, 164 nt
Organism: Mytilus californianus (California mussel)
Lineage: Eukaryota; Metazoa; Mollusca; Bivalvia; Mytilida; Mytilidae
Exons: 2
Source: RefSeq, a predicted model, not a curated record